AGAGUUUGAUCCUGGCUCAGGAUGAACGCUGGCGGCGUGCCUAACACAUGCAAGUCGAGCGAUUUACUUCGGUAAAGAGCGGCGGACGGGUGAGUAACGCGUGGGUAACCUGCCCUAUACACACGGAUAACAUACCGAAAGGUAUGCUAAUACGAGAUAAUAUAAGAGAUUCACAUGGAUUUCUUAUCAAAGCUGAGGCGGUAUAGGAUGGACCCGCGUCUGAUUAGCUAGUUGGUAAGGUAACGGCUUACCAAGGCGACGAUCAGUAGCCGACCUGAGAGGGUGAUCGGCCACAUUGGAACUGAGACACGGUCCAAACUCCUACGGGAGGCAGCAGUGGGGAAUAUUGCACAAUGGGCGAAAGCCUGAUGCAGCAACGCCGCGUGAGUGAUGAAGGCCUUCGGGUCGUAAAACUCUGUCCUCAAGGAAGAUAAUGACGGUACUUGAGGAGGAAGCCCCGGCUAACUACGUGCCAGCAGCCGCGGUAAUACGUAGGGGACUAGCGUUAUCCGGAUUUACUGGGCGUAAAGGGUGCGUAGGUGGUCUCUUAAGUCAGGAGUGAAAGGCUACGGCUUAACCGUAGUAAGCUCUUGAAACUGGGAGACUUGAGUGCAGGAGAGGAAAGUGGAAUUCCUAGUGUAGCGGUGAAAUGCGUAGAUAUUAGGAGGAACACCAGUAGCGAAGGCGGCUUUCUGGACUGUAACUGACACUGAGGCACGAAAGCGUGGGGAGCAAACAGGAUUAGAUACCCUGGUAGUCCACGCCGUAAACGAUGAGUACUAGGUGUCGGGGGUUACCCCCCUCGGUGCCGCAGCUAACGCAUUAAGUACUCCGCCUGGGAAGUACGCUCGCAAGAGUGAAACUCAAAUGAAUUGACGG
This 879-nucleotide ribosomal RNA is filed under the name uncultured bacterium. RNAcentral describes it as "bacterial SSU rRNA". It matches the Rfam family "Bacterial small subunit ribosomal RNA", at positions 8 to 916 of the family's 1533-position model. The record is from RNAcentral.